AGUGAACGCUGGCGGUAGGCUAACACAUGCAAGUCGAACGGCAGCACAGGAGAGCUUGCUCUCUGGGUGGCGAGUGGCGGACGGGUGAGGAAUACAUCGGAAUCUACUCUGUCGUGGGGGAUAACGUAGGGAAACUUACGCUAAUACCGCAUACGACCUACGGGUGAAAGCAGGGGACCUUCGGGCCUUGCGCGAUUGAAUGAGCCGAUGUCGGAUAAGCUAGUUGGGGGGGUAAAGGCCCACCAAGGCGACGAUCCGUAGCUGGUCUGAGAGGAUGAUCAGCCACACUGGAGCUGAGACACGGUCCAGACUCCUACGGGAGGCAGCAGUGGGGAAUAUUGGACAAUGGGCGCAAGCCUGAUCCAGCCAUACCGCGUGGGUGAAGAAGGCCUUCGGGUUGUAAAGCCCUUUUGUUGGGAAAGAAAUCCAGCUGGCUAAUACCCGGUUGGGAUGACGGUACCCAAAGAAUAAGCACCGGCUAACUUCGUGCCAGCCGCCGCGGUAA
This 505-nucleotide ribosomal RNA is filed under the name uncultured bacterium. RNAcentral's name for it is "partial 16S ribosomal RNA". It matches the Rfam family "Bacterial small subunit ribosomal RNA", at positions 29 to 523 of the family's 1533-position model. The record is from RNAcentral.